Long non-coding RNA from Cyprinus carpio carpio, 602 nucleotides. The record is from Ensembl. NCBI's taxonomy places the organism in Eukaryota, Metazoa, Chordata, Actinopteri, Cypriniformes, Cyprinidae.
CCAAGGUCUGUAAAGCAGACCUAUAACUGACCCGAUGUGCCCUUCGCCCUCAGGAUGUGCCAGAGUUUUGACCUCUGUCUGGUUUAUAUUACUCUCUGGGGCAGUUUACUCUACAAAUGAGUCACCUGCUGUCUGGACUGUAGUCUGAGUGACCACUAAAGACUGAUGGAAGCUUACAGACUGGUACCAGAGUUUCGAGGAGGCCGCUGGCCUGAUGCCAGCUAGGUGCAUGCUGGGAGUCCGUGCAGGGGAGACACUCCGACGCCACCCUGCUGAGAGCCGAUAGGAUUACUGUUUACAUUGAGCUCCAUGGGAAAUGGCUUUCAUUGAGGCUGUUUGGACUCUCAUUCUGACGGCAUCCAUUCACUGCAGAGGAACCAUUGAUUUAUUCUGGAGCAGAAACUGAAUGGAAUGGGCCACACAGAGGAUGACAGACGCUGAACCCUAUCCUCUCCAGGUGACCUCAGGCACGUGCAGGAGGAGAUACAGGAAGGGAGGAGAGAGAGGUGUCUGACUGGGGCAGUUUUCCUCAGGAGGAUGAAAAGACACGUCCUGCUGAGUCUGAGCUUAUUGUCUGCUGAAGUGUUAUGGAUGUAACCAGG